Magnolia sinica is the source of this 2416-nucleotide long non-coding RNA. RefSeq lists it as uncharacterized. The record is from RefSeq and is a predicted model, not a curated record. The transcript is spliced from 6 exons. Lineage: Eukaryota; Viridiplantae; Streptophyta; Magnoliopsida; Magnoliales; Magnoliaceae.
UAGCCUCAGUUGCAUAGGAACCGAGGCGAAAAGUCUACUUUUUGGCUUCAGUUGCAUAGGAACCGGGGCCAAAAGUCUACUUUUUAGCCUCAGUUGCAUCCGAGGCUAAAAGUCUACUUUUUAGCCUCAAUUGCAUAGUUCUCUUUGAUGUGGUCUACCUAUGCAUCACAUCCAGAUUUGUUGAUCUGGGCCUAAAUGAGGUGGCUCAUAUAAUGGACGGUGGAGAUGGAAACAGAUUGGCUACUCAAAGAUCCUGUCCGUUCCUAGCUAGAGACAGAAACAGAUUGGCUACUCCCCGCCACGAGCCUGGUGGCUGGUGGUCGGUGCCACUACAACAAAUUUGUAAAUUUGGAAUGGUUACAUUUUUGGUUUAGGAACUGUUUUAAGCCGAAUGAUUAUAAACCAUUCUAAAUUUAGAAAAAGGGAUGGUGUGGAUUUCUCACCUCUCAUAUGCCCCACUUGAGUUUUAGAUCCACUUCAUUUUUGGUCUCAUGUCUUAAAAGGAUCUCUCAAAGUAGAUGAACGGUGUGGAUUUCUCACAAAAAUUACAGUGGGCCCCACCUAGCAUCCCAGCAUGUGGACCACAAAACAUCAUGGUGGGCCCUAGGAAGGUUUCAAUGGUGGGCAUCAAUCUUCCCGCUGUUUUCUGUGGUGGGGUCCACUAAAGCUUUGGAUCUGCCUCAUUCUUUGGUUCGUGGCUUGAAAUGAUAUCUCCAAACGGAUGGAUGCUGUGGAUACAACACAUACGUCAUAGUGGGGUCCACAGAACUUGGUGACGUCACUUCAGUAGCGAGUCUCGCUACUCAACCUGUUAAGUAUCUAAUCCGCGUCCUCUAUCACCCAAACCCUCAUCUCUUCUCCCUCUGUCUGCGCCCCAAAGUCCCAAGCCCUCAUCCCUCUCUCUCUCUCUCUCAAUGGCUUUCUCUGUAAGCUCUCGCCAAUCCCUCCUCCCUUCCUAUCUCUGCUCAUCUCCUUCAUCCCAAGCCAUAGAUUUGCAGAAAUUCCUCCACAGAAACCCUAGCUUCACGCCGUCUCCAUCUCCAUCUUCCUCAAAUGGAGUUUCCAGGGGCUUCAUCGUUCCAGCGCGUAGCGAGCUCGGCAAGAUCGAGAUGUAUUGACCGGCUUUCUACGCCGCCUGCACCUUUGGUGGCAUCCUGAGCUACAGCCUUACUCACAUGGCCAUCACGCCUCUCGAUCUCGUCAAGUGUAAUAUGCAGGUUUUCUUUCGUUGCUUUAGUGUUUUGAUUUUAGCUCUGAAGCUUCGAUUUCAUUUCUCUUGGGUUGCUUGCUUGGAUGUGAUGUUUCUGUGUAAUUUGUGGUAAGAUCUGUUUGGAUCUUCGAUUGGAACUUCGACCUCUAAAUUUCUAGGUUUAUUAUUAUUAUUUUGUUGAUUUGGUCUUUAUUAGGGUUUGAUUUCUUCAUUUCUAGGUUUUCAACUACCACUUGAUGGAUCAGAGCAUUGGUUUAUAAAUAUCAUGAUUUCCUUCUUAUUUUAUAUUUUUGGUUUUUGAUCCUGGAUAGUAAAUUAGAUUGAUCCUGGUUUUUGAUCCACUUCCAUCGACUUCACUGUUGCCUGUUAGUUGUUAGAGGUUUGGAGAAGGGGAGUGGCAGCCAUGUCCUCUCUCUCUCUCUCUCUCUCUCUCUCUCUCUAUCUCGACUUACAUCCCUGCAUGUGUCGCGUUCACUGGGGCCCACAUGAUUACUGAUCCGAUUAUCAGAACCGUCAAACUUCUGAUUGGAUGUGUUAUGGAAUACCUUGGUAUUUGAGUGCUUUGCCAAUCAGGUGCGUUACACAUGCAUAUAUACCUGUCGCUUUAAAAUAACAACUCCAGGUUUCCAGUGGGACUAGUUUUUAAGAUACAUAUGCCCUUCUGAACUUGUCAUACUCAUGUGAUCAGGCAAACAUAGAUACAUAUCUCAUAUCAAUGGCCAAACAACACAUUAUGUUGCUUCUCUUGGCAUUUCUAUUUUGGGUAGUACUGUUUUUUGAAACAUUGGCAAUGACCGAUUCAUUGGAUGUACAUUGCAGAUAACAAUCUUAAGAAUAACCCAUGGCAUGGAUUUGAUGAGUGGUCGCUCAAGGUAAAAACCAAUGCGCCUAACCGGAGAACUCAAUCGAAACAGCUGCAUGUCACCUUCUCCAAGACCUAUAAACUGCUCAGAGACAUGUUUAUGCAGUGGAGGCAUUUGAAAUGACAGAAUAUGCACGCAGGCUUAUUGCUGAUGCUGGGAAUCCAUCAUUGGGAGAACGGAUUACGGUGUGAUUUUAUUUUGCAGUUUAAACUUAAUACCUGACUUUUUUGAGUUCUUUGCCAAACUCAGAGAGAGAUUUCCAUCUUAUUUCCAUGGUUUCUCUGUUUGUGUUGAGAUUUCAAGUCUCUUGGACUGAGGGAGAAAACCAAUCUCUGUUUUUCUU